RNAcentral lists this long non-coding RNA (686 nucleotides) under Aquila chrysaetos chrysaetos. RNAcentral's name for it is "lncRNA (ENSACCG00020003081.1)". Lineage: Eukaryota; Metazoa; Chordata; Aves; Accipitriformes; Accipitridae. The record is from RNAcentral.
CAGACCACAGAGGAGCUUGGAUGGAAAACAGCUGAAUUUCAGCUCCUGCAACUAAUGACUGUCAACACUGCCUGGCUUUAUUCCACUUGGGAAUUACCAGCAGGGAAAUCUGCUGUCCAUUAAAGAGCCACUGUCAAGAUCAAGAUUCAUGGUUCCCCCCGUGGCUGCACAGGAAAACAUUGUAUUUUUCGUCACCUGAUAAAGCUCAUUAAAAUGUUGUCUACAGCACUUUUCUUAGGUUAUUUUUUCUCAGUGGCAUGUUACACCAUUUUAAAUGAUUCCCGAGGGAAAUAAGGGCCCUGUUAUUCAGCUGAUGGGAUGAGAGAGGCAAUCUCUCACAUUCCAAAUGAAGGGAGAUAUAUUAAUAAAGAAAACAAUGAAAGAGUGCUCUGAUUUUCACUGAUCUAAGGCCCCUUUCCAUUGUUCUUCUUGGGAAUAAUAUCUGAUUAAAGACUGCAAGACUUGGUACAGUGAACUAUUUAAUGAAUGCUCUCACAGAAAGUGAAAUCUACUCCAACCUGCGCUUCUGACUGUAUCAAAUCAUGGAGGUAAGCAGUUAAUGGGAGGAAUAGCCUGGCAUUACAUGGCUGCUCUGAUAGGGACCCAAACAGCCCAUGUGUGCUAGCCCCAAACAGUCAUUAAGUCAGCACGCUACAGCAGGAAAUGUUGCUGCAGCAGUCCUACAC